This 1126-nucleotide ribosomal RNA is filed under the name Salinibacterium sp. RNAcentral describes it as "bacterial SSU rRNA". It matches the Rfam family "Bacterial small subunit ribosomal RNA", at positions 97 to 1251 of the family's 1533-position model. Lineage: Bacteria; Bacillati; Actinomycetota; Actinomycetes; Micrococcales; Microbacteriaceae. The record is from RNAcentral.
GGCGAACGGGUGAGUAAGACGUGAGUAACCUGCCCUUGACUCUGGGAUAAGCACUGGAAACGGUGUCUAAUACCGGAUACGAGCUUCAGCCGCAUGGCUAGGAGCUGGAAAGAAUUUCGGUCAAGGAUGGACUCGCGGCCUAUCAGCUAGUUGGUGAGGUAAUGGCCCACCAAGGCGACGACGGGUAGCCGGCCUGAGAGGGUGACCGGCCACACUGGGACUGAGACACGGCCCAGACUCCUACGGGAGGCAGCAGUGGGGAAUAUUGCACAAUGGGCGCAAGCCUGAUGCAGCAACGCCGCGUGAGGGACGACGGCCUUCGGGUUGUAAACCUCUUUUAGUAGGGAAGAAGCGAAAGUGACGGUACCUGCAGAAAAAGCACCGGCUAACUACGUGCCAGCAGCCGCGGUAAUACGUAGGGUGCAAGCGUUAUCCGGAAUUAUUGGGCGUAAAGAGCUCGUAGGCGGUUUGUCGCGUCUGCUGUGAAAACUGGAGGCUCAACCUCCAGCCUGCAGUGGGUACGGGCAGACUAGAGUGCGGUAGGGGAGAUUGGAAUUCCUGGUGUAGCGGUGGAAUGCGCAGAUAUCAGGAGGAACACCAAUGGCGAAGGCAGAUCUCUGGGCCGUAACUGACGCUGAGGAGCGAAAGCAUGGGGAGCGAACAGGAUUAGAUACCCUGGUAGUCCAUGCCGUAAACGUUGGGAACUAGAUGUAGGGACCAUUCCACGGUUUCUGUGUCGCACCUAACGCAUUAAGUUCCCCGCCUGGGGAGUACGGCCGCAAGGCUAAAACUCAAAGGAAUUGACGGGGGCCCGCACAAGCGGCGGAGCAUGCGGAUUAAUUCGAUGCAACGCGAAGAACCUUACCAAGACUUGACAUAUACCAGAACGGGCUAGAAAUAGUCAACUCUUUGGACACUCGUAAACAGGUGGUGCAUGGUUGUCGUCAGCUCCUGUCGUGAAAUGUUGGGUUAAGUCCCGCAACGAGCGCACCCUCGUUCUUUUUGCCGCACGUAAUGGUGGAACUCAAGGAAACUGCCGGGUCACUCGGAGAAAAGGUGGGGAUGACUUCAAUCAUCAUCCCCUUAUGUCUGGGCUUCCCCAGCUACAUGGCCGUACAAGGCUGCA